This 497-nucleotide ribosomal RNA is filed under the name uncultured bacterium. RNAcentral's name for it is "partial 16S ribosomal RNA". It matches the Rfam family "Bacterial small subunit ribosomal RNA", at positions 28 to 507 of the family's 1533-position model. The record is from RNAcentral.
GAUGAACGCCGGCGGCGUGCCUAAUACAUGCAAGUCGAGCGAACAGACGAGGAGCUUGCUCCUCUGACGUUAGCGGCGGACGGGUGAGUAACACGUGGAUAACCUACCUAUAAGACUGGGAUAACUUCGGGAAACCGGAGCUAAUACCGGAUAAUAUAUUGAACCGCAUGGUUCAAUAGUGAAAGACGGUUUUGCUGUCACUUAUAGAUGGAUCCGCGCCGCAUUAGCUAGUUGGUAAGGUAACGGCUUACCAAGGCAACGAUGCGUAGCCGACCUGAGAGGGUGAUCGGCCACACUGGAACUGAGACACGGUCCAGACUCCUACGGGAGGCAGCAGUAGGGAAUCUUCCGCAAUGGGCGAAAGCCUGACGGAGCAACGCCGCGUGAGUGACGAAGGUCUUCGGAUCGUAAAACUCUGUUAUUAGGGAAGAACAAAUGUGUAAGUAACUAUGCACGUCUUGACGGUACCUAAUCAGAAAGCCACGGCUAACUACGUG